GGGGCCGUAGCUCAGUUGGGAGAGCGCCUGACCUGCAAUCAGGGGGUCGUCGGUUCAAGUCCGACCGGUUCCACCA
This 76-nucleotide transfer RNA is filed under the name Candidatus Sungiibacteriota bacterium. RNAcentral's name for it is "Candidatus Sungbacteria bacterium tRNA-Ala". It matches the Rfam family "tRNA". Rfam says of the family: Transfer RNA (tRNA) molecules are approximately 80 nucleotides in length. Their secondary structure includes four short double-helical elements and three loops (D, anti-codon, and T loops). Lineage: Bacteria; Candidatus Sungiibacteriota. The record is from RNAcentral.